Rattus norvegicus (Norway rat) is the source of this 2706-nucleotide non-coding RNA. The record is from RefSeq and is a predicted model, not a curated record. NCBI's taxonomy places the organism in Eukaryota, Metazoa, Chordata, Mammalia, Rodentia, Muridae.
AGACAUCUUGUUGAUUUUAUUUUCCCCAUUUAGACUGCAGCCUGCAGGGACGGCGGCUGGAUUUGUAGCGAUCUGGAGAAAAUUUGACAGCAGAUGUCACUGUCGCUCACACAGUCAUCAGCCCCGCCAUCUCAGAGCACCUACAUCUUUAGCAGAAGGCAAUUUUUUUGAAGAUGGUUAAAAAAAAAAAAUCUUCUACAUUCUUGCACCCGUUCUUACACUGUGUCUGAUCUCACUUAGCUCUGCACUGGCUUCAGGAUGUCACGUUCAUAAACCACAGGGAGAAUGAGGAUCAAGGUGGCCCCAAACUGCCUAAGUGACCCUCGUCUAUGCCUAAAGUUGGGCUCUGCUCACGUUAUCCUUGGGUACGGUCCAGUGUUGCUAUAAAUAGUCCCCUGAGCGGUCCUUCUCUCAGAGCUUCUGAGCCACUGAGAGCUAGAGUGUCAUCCAGGGAAGUUGAUAGACAAGGAGGCACGGGAAUGCAGACUCUAAGCAAGUGAAAUGACGUGCGGAAUCCCAACAGGCCCUGAAGGAGCAGCUCUGCCAUGAUGCUCAGGCACUGACAUUUGAAAGCCUUGACGUUGACAAAUUACGCAUCCCAUUUCCUUUUCCAUCUCCCGCCUGUGAAGCAACAAUCAGCUUUGUCGUCCGCUCCUCAGGAAGCCAGCCAGACUGUGCCAGGAUUGAAACUGAGAACCUGGAAACAGAGCCGUGCUGCACCUUUCUGACUUGCAGGCUGUUUCCUGUGUGAAGAGAGGCCCUGUGGGCUUGAGGAGGCGGGGCUAGAGGAAGGUACCCAACUGCUGCCGCUGGCUUUUAAGGAUGGAGGACGAGUCCUGUCUAUGGCCUUGCACAUAUGGUGUCAUCUAAUCUCUACGGGUCCGCUAAAUAGCGUAGCCUCAAGCCCUCCGCUCCCCAUCUUUCUGGCCCACGUCUUCCCUGCCCGUCUCUGGGGAGAGCACCGUCCAGGUUCACAGUGGCGCACCGUGUCAACGCUCUGGCUCUCAGUUUUGAAGGAGAAUGGCAGCUGUUGUGAUGGCUCCAACCAGAUACGGUUUGCUCGGCACCCCCGCUUACACACCCACUUUGGGUUCAGUUUCACAGUCGGGCAUCGAGAGGGCAGAGUCUUGUCCUCGUCCAUGGAGGCUGAUGGAUACAGGCCUCACAGCUGCAAACGACUAUUAUGACUCCCCUCACUAGGAGCCUGCGCAUCAUCGUCCAGCACUGGCAGGGCUAGCCAUUAGGGAAGGAGCUUCCUCCAGAAACGGAGAGGGAAGACCUAUUCUGCGUCUCACACACUAGCCCUUUCUACUCAGGAAACAAGAGGGAAGAGGAUUAGCCAUGACGGAGCUGGGCCUUGAGCCACACAGUUGGUGCCUGUGCUCUUGUUUCAUCUGUGAUGUAACCAGGAAGAAAGUGAGAAUCACCUUAAUUGUCUAAACAAUGUGACCUGAAAAAGGUACUUCACUCCAGGGACAGCUCAAGAAGCCUUGUUGGAGGAGGGACUUUAAAGCUCUAUUAGUCAGUGUUCUUUAAAGCAUGGUCACAGGCCAGUAUCACCAUCACUGGACCCUGUGAGACAUACAUGUUCUCAGGCCCCACCACCCAUCACUCCUGUGUGAGGAGAACCUCUGGAUGAAGCAUCUAAAAGGUGGAUGGGUGUGGGUGCCCUACAAUCCCCAGAUUAAUCUUCAACACACCCUCCUGACCUUGAGUUUUCUAGGGAUGUUGAGCCAUCUCUCUCGCCCCCUAGAGAUAACUCUGAAUCUCUCUGACCCUUCUGACUUAUUCUAUACCUAAUCAGUAGGUUAGCAUACAAGAAUGGAGGAAACAGAAGACUGGAUUUUUAAAAAAAAAAAAAAAAAGUGUCUCUGUUUUCAAAACAGUACAUUUGAAGUCAGGAGAACCCCCAUCCAAACACAUCCUGAGCACAGGACUGCUGGAUCCAUGGGAAGGACUGUAGAAUGGGCGUCAGUGACUUCUAAGGGCACUCGCUUCUACCUCAUUGUCUCUGAAUUCAUGCUUCCUGGAGGACUUCAGAGAGAUGUUUCCACAUCAUACGGAGCAGAGCAACAGAGGCGAGUGGGUUCUCCAGGGCCCUAGUAUAACCCUUCUUGCUUUCCCUUACACCGUGGCUGAACUAUUCUAGUCUCUCCCUUGGGGGAGGGGAGCUUCCAACUCCUCCCCAAGAGGCGGAAAUGGCUCCCUGGUGGGCCCAGCUACCAGUGACUGGCAAGUAAACUGAAAAAGGCCACACCAGAGUUGUAGGUAAAAGAAGCCACUUGACAGAUAAGACUGGAGGUUCCUGCCUAGCUGGGCUUCAUAAAACAAAUGAAGCAUGUACAAGAAAAGCUCAUAAAAUACAAAUGUGUGACAGAUGGGUACUGCCCAGGUGGCCUGUAAGGGCUCACGGCCUAGCACAUGCUUUGCUCUAUCUUGACAAGCCCACUCUCAUUAUGUGAAUCAUUUUCCCUUUCUUAAUGAACUGUCUCUUUCUGUUUCUAAAUAAGAAUCCAUGGUCCAGGGCUGGAGAGAUGGCUCAGAGGUUAAGAGCACUGACUUAUCUUCCUGAGGUCCUGAAUUCAAUUCCCAGCAGCCACAUGGUGGCUCACACCAUCUGUAAUGAGAUCCAAUGCCCUCUGAAGACAGCUACAGGGUAGUCAUAUAAAUAAGAUAAAUAAAAUUUAAAAAAAACAAACAAAAAAA